RNAcentral lists this ribosomal RNA (491 nucleotides) under uncultured bacterium. RNAcentral's name for it is "partial 16S ribosomal RNA". It matches the Rfam family "Bacterial small subunit ribosomal RNA", at positions 29 to 506 of the family's 1533-position model. The record is from RNAcentral.
AGUGAACGCUGGCGGUAGGCCUAACACAUGCAAGUCGAACGGCAGCACAGUAAGAGCUUGCUCUUACGGGUGGCGAGUGGCGGACGGGUGAGGAAUACAUCGGAAUCUACUUUUUCGUGGGGGAUAACGUAGGGAAACUUACGCUAAUACCGCAUACGACUUACGGGUGAAAGCAGGGGAUCUUCGGACCUUGCGCGAUUGAAUGAGCCGAUGUCGGAUUAGCUAGUUGGCGGGGUAAAGGCCCACCAAGGCGACGAUCCGUAGCUGGUCUGAGAGGAUGAUCAGCCACACUGGAACUGAGACACGGUCCAGACUCCUACGGGAGGCAGCAGUGGGGAAUAUUGGACAAUGGGCGCAAGCCUGAUCCAGCCAUACCGCGUGGGUGAAGAAGGCCUUCGGGUUGUAAAGCCCUUUUGUUGGGAAAGAAAAGCAGCAGGUUAAUACCCCGCUGUUCUGACGGGACCCAAAGAAUAAGCACCGGCGAACUUCGU